This 468-nucleotide ribosomal RNA is filed under the name uncultured bacterium. RNAcentral's name for it is "partial 16S ribosomal RNA". It matches the Rfam family "Bacterial small subunit ribosomal RNA", at positions 28 to 507 of the family's 1533-position model. The record is from RNAcentral.
GACGAACGCUGGCGGCGUGCUUAACACAUGCAAGUCGAACGGAAAGGCCCUGCUUUUGUGGGGUGCUCGAGUGGCGAACGGGUGAGUAACACGUGAGUAACCUGCCCUUGACUUUGGGAUAACUUCAGGAAACUGGGGCUAAUACCGGAUAGGAGCUCCUGCUGCAUGGUGGGGGUUGGAAAGUUUCGGCGGUUGGGGAUGGACUCGCGGCUUAUCAGCUUGUUGGUGGGGUAGUGGCUUACCAAGGGUUUGACGGGUAGCCGGCCUGAGAGGGUGACCGGCCACAAUGGGACUGAGAUACGGCCCAGACUCCUACGGGAGGCAGCGGUGGAGAGUAUUGCACAGUGGGCGGGAGCCUGAUGCGGCAACGCCGCGUGCGGGAUGACGGCCUUCGGGUUGUAAACCGCUUUCGCCUGUGACGAGGCGUGAGUGACGGUAAUGGGUAAAGAAGCACCGGCUAACUACGUG